ACCGGCGAACGGCUUAGUAACACGUAGAUACAUACCGCGAAGUGGGGCAUAGCUCGUCGAAAGACGGGGUAAUUUCCCAUAGUCCCGCAAGGGUAAAGGCGCAAGCCGCUUUGUGAAUGGUCUGCGGUCUAUCAGCUAGUUGGUGAGGUAAUGGCUCACCAAGGCUAUGACGGAUAGGGGGCGUGAGAGCGCGACCCCCAAGAAUGGCACUGCGACACGGGCCAUACUCCUACGGGAGGCUGCAGUCGAGAAUCUUCCACAAUGGACGAAAGUCUGAUGGAGCGACAUUUCGUGAUGGAUGAAGCCCUUCGGGGUGUAAACAUCUUUUAUCUGGGAGGAAGCGCAAGCAGACAGUACCAGAUGAAUAAGGGGAUCCUAAUUCUGUGCCAGCAGGAGCGGUAAUACAGAAUCCCCGAGCGUUACCCGGAUUUAUUGGGCGUAAAGGGUUCGUAGGUGGUAGAGUAAGUUGCAAAUUAAACUUCAUCGGCUUAACCUUUGAAC
This 501-nucleotide ribosomal RNA is filed under the name Candidatus Staskawiczbacteria bacterium. Its description in RNAcentral is "bacterial SSU rRNA". It matches the Rfam family "Bacterial small subunit ribosomal RNA", at positions 94 to 621 of the family's 1533-position model. Lineage: Bacteria; Candidatus Staskawicziibacteriota. The record is from RNAcentral.